Long non-coding RNA from Syngnathoides biaculeatus (alligator pipefish), 1455 nucleotides. RefSeq lists it as uncharacterized. NCBI's taxonomy places the organism in Eukaryota, Metazoa, Chordata, Actinopteri, Syngnathiformes, Syngnathidae. The record is from RefSeq and is a predicted model, not a curated record. The transcript has 5 exons.
UUCAUUUCGUUGCAUCACAUCCUUCCAUUGGAUAUCUUUUUUCAAACUCAUCACUUCACCGUUGGUCAUCGGAUUAAGACAAGGGACAGAGCUGAUAGAAGAAAAAGAAGAUGGAGAGACAGAAUUGGGUCAGUAAUAGACAGAGCUCCCCAAAGCUCCGGUCAGAGUGCUGAAUUCUGAGGAGGGACUGCAGGCAACAAUGUCGUCACCAGCCUGACCUUCCCAUUUUUGCAAAUACUGCGGACACGCUCUCUGCCCACAUGAAAGCCGGGCAUCGUUGUGCACCAGAUGUAGCCAAGAGUCAUCACAGUGUCUAACAGACAGCUGUCUGCGUGGGGCCCCCCCUAAGGACUUGCCUUUCUAGACCACCAUUGUAUCUCCAGUCCACCAAUCAACUGUCCUAUUUGUGCAAGACCAGGUUGCCGCAAUCACCAGCGCACGGUGGAAGGAGCUCGGUUUCCGGGUCUGGUCUUUGAUGGAUGUGUCUCGUUUUUGGCUGCCAACUGCGUCUUGCUGCAGAUACACCCGCAAACCCACCCCACCUCCUCCCCACCUGCCGGGGAUCUGACUGGCUUAUCCUCACGAGGCUCACGGGGAGUGCUUGAGCCUAUCCCAGCUGUCAACGGACAGGAGUGCGGGGUACGCCCUGAACUGGUUGCCAGCCAAUCGCAGGGCGCAUGGAGACAAACACCCACACUCACAAUCAAACCGAGGGCCAAUUUAGAGUGUCGAACCUGGGUCCUCAGUGCCGUGAGGCCAACGCUUUACCAGCUGAGUCACCGUGCCGCCCACGUAGUCAUCAUUCAGUGAAAAUCCAAUAUUUACCUGUUGUUGAUAAUGUACAUUUUACCACACUUUCCAGAGCCGCUUUAAGAGAAAAGCCAGUUGUUAUCACUUUGUUAAUGAAACAUCGGUAUUUUCCAUAAUGCGUGUGCUCAUUCGGGUCACGGGUGAGCUGCAGCCUGUCCCAGAUGACUUUGUGUUUUUGAAAUGUGGGAGGAAGUUCAAGAGUAGCCACACGAAGUCCACGCAAGCAAAGUGAGAACGUGCAGUACAGAUUCCACACCGGAAGGGUGGAGCAGGGAUUCAGACCCUGAACUCGAGAACUGUGAGGCAAAUGUCAAUCGCCAGCUAGACAGAGAGAAUAAAAACUGAUGGAUAGAUUUAAGUUUAAGUUAGUAACCUAGAUCAGCAUGUGGGAGGGCCACUCCUGUAUCAAUUUGCAUAAUAAUAAAACACUCUUGACACUUUUGGUAACUUCCGGCUUUGUGAGUCUGCUGCUAGUGUGUUGUUUUUUUUAUUAGAUUUUCACAUUCUUCUCCUUCUAACUUAAAUGGUUGUUAAAUAAUCGUACACUUUCAAGCAAUUGCUACUUUAAAGCUGAAAUACUGUACUGAAAUAUUGAAAGUGAAAUUCUGUAAAUACAUUCUUCUGAAUAAAACAGUCCACAUAAGA